GUGCCAGCCGCCGCGGUAAUACGAACUGUGCGAACGUUAUUCGGAAUCACUGGGCUUACAGGGUGCGUAGGCGGCUUCGCCAGUCAGGUGUGAAAGCCCCCGGCUCAACCGGGGAACUGCGCUUGAAACUGCGAGGCUCGAGUCAGCUAGAGGUGCACGGAACUUCCAGUGGAGCGGUGAAAUGUGUUGAUAUUGGAAGGAACACCGGAGGCGAAAGCGGUGCACUGGGGCUGGUCUGACGCUGAGGCACGAAAGCCAGGGGAGCGAACGGGAUUAGAUACCCCCGUAGUCC
This 292-nucleotide ribosomal RNA is filed under the name uncultured bacterium. Its description in RNAcentral is "partial 16S ribosomal RNA". It matches the Rfam family "Bacterial small subunit ribosomal RNA", at positions 505 to 796 of the family's 1533-position model. The record is from RNAcentral.